UGUAGCUAAUACCGUAUAUUCCAGUAAUGGGAAAGAUUUAUCGCUAUAAGAUUGGCCCGCGCAAGAUUAGCUUGUUGGUGAGGUAAAAGCUCACCAAGGCUUCGAUCUUUAGCUGGUUUGAGAGGAUGAUCAGCCACACUGGGACUGAGACACGGCCCAGACUCCUACGGGAGGCAGCAGUAGGGAAUAUUGGACAAUGGGGGCAACCCUGAUCCAGCAAUGCAGCGUGAGUGACGAAGGCCUUAGGGUUGUAAAACUCUUUCAUCGGUGAGGAUAAUGACAGUAGCCGAAGAAGAAGGACCGGCUAAUUCCGUGCCAGCAGCCGCGGUAAUACGGAAGGUCCUAGCGUUGUUCGGAAUUACUGGGCGUAAAGCGCAUGUAGGCGGAACAGAAAGUUAGAAGUGAAAUCCCUGGGCUCAACCUAGGAAUUGCUUUUAAAACUUCUGUUCUGGAAUUCAGGAGAGGAAAAUGGAAUUUCCAGUGUAGAGGUGAAAUUCGUAGAUAUUGGAAGGAACACCAGUGGCGAAGGCGAUUUUCUGGACUGAUAUUGACGCUGAGAUGCGAAGGCAUGGGUAGCAAACGGGAUUAGAUACCCCGGUAGUCCAUGCAGUAAACGAUGGGUGCUAGUCGUCGGACUUUUGUUCGGUGUCGUAGCUAACGCGUUAAGCACCCCGCCUGGGGAGUACGGUCGCAAGAUUAAAACUCAAAUAAAUUGACGGGGACCCGCACAAGCAGUGGAGCAUGUGGUUUAAUUCGACGCAACGCGAAGAACCUUACCAGCGUUUGACAUGGAAAGUACCGGUUACAGAAUGGUAACCUUCAGUUCGGCUGGCUUUCGCACAGGUGCUGCAUGGCUGUCGUCAGCUCGUGUCGUGAGAUGU
This 881-nucleotide ribosomal RNA is filed under the name marine metagenome. RNAcentral's name for it is "bacterial SSU rRNA". It matches the Rfam family "Bacterial small subunit ribosomal RNA", at positions 158 to 1075 of the family's 1533-position model. The record is from RNAcentral.